AAUAUUGCACAAUGGGGGAAACCCUGAUGCAGCAACGCCGCGUGAAGGAAGAAGGCCUUCGGGUUGUCAACUUCUUUGAUAGGGGACGAUAAUGACGGUACCCUAAGAACAAGCCACGGCUAACUACGUGCCAGCAGCCGCGGUAAUACGUAGGUGGCAAGCGUUGUCCGGAAUUACUGGGUGUAAAGGGCGUGUAGACGGGAUUGCAAGUCAGAUGUGAAAGCCCCAGGCUUAACCUGGGAACUGCAUCUGAAACUGUGAUUCUUGAGUGUCGGAGAGGAAAGCGGAAUUCCUAGUGUAGCGGUGAAAUGCGUAGAUAUUAGGAGGAACACCAGUGGCGAAGGCGGCUUUCUGGACGAUAACUGACGUUGAGGCGCGAAAGCGUGGGGAGCAAACAGG
This 399-nucleotide ribosomal RNA is filed under the name uncultured bacterium. RNAcentral's name for it is "partial 16S ribosomal RNA". It matches the Rfam family "Bacterial small subunit ribosomal RNA", at positions 360 to 776 of the family's 1533-position model. The record is from RNAcentral.